GACGAACGCUGGCGGCGUGCCUAAUACAUGCAAGUCGAACGCACAGUUUAUACCGUAGCUUGCUACACCAUAGACUGUGAGUUGCGAACGGGUGAGUAACGCGUAGGUAACCUGCCUGGUAGCGGGGGAUAACUAUUGGAAACGAUAGCUAAUACCGCAUAAUAUUAAUUAUUGCAUGAUAAUUAAUUGAAAGGUGCAAUUGCACCACUACCAGAUGGACCUGCGUUGUAUUAGCUAGUAGGUGAGGUAACGGCUCACCCAGGCGACGAUACAUAGCCGACCUGGGAGGGUGAUCGGCCACACUGGGACUGAGACACAGCCCAGACUCCUACGGGAGGCAGCAGUAGGGAAUCUUCGGCAAUGGACGAAAGUCUGACCGAGCAACGCCGCGUGAGUGAAGAAGGUUUUCGGAUCGUAAAGCUCUGUUGUAAGAGAAGAACGGGUGUGAGAGUGGAAAGUUCACACUGUGACGGUAUCUUACCAGAAAGGGACGGCUAACUACGUG
RNAcentral lists this ribosomal RNA (505 nucleotides) under uncultured bacterium. RNAcentral describes it as "partial 16S ribosomal RNA". It matches the Rfam family "Bacterial small subunit ribosomal RNA", at positions 28 to 507 of the family's 1533-position model. The record is from RNAcentral.